Dasypus novemcinctus (nine-banded armadillo) is the source of this 97-nucleotide microRNA precursor. Ensembl annotates it as microRNA 206. NCBI's taxonomy places the organism in Eukaryota, Metazoa, Chordata, Mammalia, Cingulata, Dasypodidae. The record is from Ensembl.
CCCUGCUUCCCGAGGCCACAUGCUUCUUUAUAUCCCCAUACGGAUUACAUUGCUAUGGAAUGUAAGGAAGUGUGUGGUUUUGGCAAGUGUCUCGUCG